UCGUCUAGUGGUCCAGGACGCAACCUUCUCAAGGUUGAGAUCACGGGUUCGACUCCCGUACGCGGU
RNAcentral lists this transfer RNA (66 nucleotides) under compost metagenome. Its description in RNAcentral is "tRNA-Glu". The stretch from base 3 to 59 matches the Rfam family "tRNA", at positions 10 to 63 of the family's 71-position model. Rfam says of the family: Transfer RNA (tRNA) molecules are approximately 80 nucleotides in length. Their secondary structure includes four short double-helical elements and three loops (D, anti-codon, and T loops). The record is from RNAcentral.